AGCGAACGCUGGCGGCAGGCCUAACACAUGCAAGUCGAACGAACCCUUCGGGGUUAGUGGCGGACGGGUGAGUAACACGUGGGAACGUACCUUUAGGUUCGGAACAACACAGGGAAACUUGUGCUAAUGCCGAAUGUGCCCUUCGGGGAAAGAUUUAUCGCCUUUAGAGCGGCCCGCGUCUGAUUAGCUUGUUGGUGAGGUAAAGGCUCACCAAGGCUACGAUCAGUAGCUGGUCUGAGAGGAUGAUCAGCCACACUGGGACUGAGACACGGCCCAGACUCCUACGGGAGGCAGCAGUGGGGAAUCUUGCGCAAUGGGCGAAAGCCUGACGCAGCCAUGCCGCGUGAAUGAUGAAGGUCUUAGGAUUGUAAAAUUCUUUCACCGGGGAAGAUAAUGACGGUACCCGGAGAAGAAGCCCCGGCUAACUUCGUG
Molecule: ribosomal RNA, 432 nt
Filed under: uncultured bacterium
Lineage: Bacteria
Description: bacterial SSU rRNA
Rfam family: Bacterial small subunit ribosomal RNA
Source: RNAcentral